RNAcentral lists this ribosomal RNA (253 nucleotides) under uncultured bacterium. RNAcentral describes it as "partial 16S ribosomal RNA". It matches the Rfam family "Bacterial small subunit ribosomal RNA", at positions 524 to 776 of the family's 1533-position model. The record is from RNAcentral.
UACGUAGGGUCCGAGCGUUGUCCGGAAUUAUUGGGCGUAAAGGGCUCGUAGGCGGUUCGUCACGUCGGGAGUGAAAACUCGGGGCUUAACCCCGAGCCUGCUUCCGAUACGGGCAGACUAGAGGUAGGCAGGGGAGAGCGGAACUCCUGGUGUAGCGGUGGAAUGCGCAGAUAUCAGGAAGAACACCGGUGGCGAAGGCGGCUCUCUGGGCCGAUAUUGACGCUGAGGAGCGAAAGCGUGGGGAGCAAACAGG